RNAcentral lists this long non-coding RNA (40857 nucleotides) under Oryza sativa (Asian cultivated rice). RNAcentral describes it as "long non-coding RNA (OSAT_LNC000045)". The record is from RNAcentral. Lineage: Eukaryota; Viridiplantae; Streptophyta; Magnoliopsida; Poales; Poaceae.
UUUUUUUAAAAAGUUUUAGUGACAAAAAAUUUGGCAUUAUAAUUUUAUAAGUUGGUGUUUAGAUGCAUGGUAAAGUUUUACCAAAUUGUUGCUGCCUCUCUUAUACACGGGGCCUGAUACUUUUUUCUUGCCUAAAUUUGCUACUAUAGACUCCUAAAUGACAAAUGCCAACUUGUCUACUUUUUGUUACUAGUGUUUAGAUCCAUUUUAUCAAAAAAAUGGUCUAAAACGGUACAACUUUUAUCAUUUUAGAGUAUCUAAACAAGCCCAUAAUGAUGAUGAUUAUUAUUAAGGGGUGCUUGAGGUGUCUAGGUGGAUUUAACUAAUGAGGUAACAUCAUAAAAUUUCUCAUUGCCGUAUCACCAAAUCACUGUUGCAUGCAUAUAGCAGGAGUACACAUCACCAUCACCAUCAUUUGAAAGAGAGCAUAUAAGAGGUUGGCCAUUAGCAGUGUUUGGUGGUGGGCAUUAUUCCUCUUUUCAUUUUCUUGCAUCAUUGUCAUUGGUCCCAAGAAUGCGGGAUUAUUUCCACGUGAUAUAUUUAUACCUUUUCCUUGGAUUUGAACUUGUUCUCCCUGGAAUGGGAGUUUAAUCUUGCAAUUCAUUUUCUUUUCAUUCAAAAAUGGAAUCUAUGACAUGUUUGGUUUGCUGUUCAACUAACCCUACCAAAAUUUAACACUUUUGGUUUGCAUUUGGUUUGCAAAUUCUGAUAGUCUUGAAUGCAUUUGGUUUGAAACCUUACCAAAUUUAUUUUGGUAUAGCUUUUAAGAACGCAAUUUUCUGAAACCACUUAAAUUUGAUUGGGUAGCGGUAGUAACAAUGGGGCUGACAGGAUACGCUGGCCGCUGUUGUCUACAGUCGUUUCCAAUGCUAUCGCAGGCUCGCAUCCAUAGGCAGCAAACACAACCGAACACGUCUAAUAUGUUUGGUAAUGUCAAAUUUUGAUAGGGCUCAAAAGUGAGAACAAAACAAGCAUGCAUUUCUACUACUUUCUUCGUUUUAUAUAAAAGACCCUUUGAUCUUUUCCUAAUCAAACUUUUAACCCAAAUAUAUAGUAACAUUUUUUUACCCAAAACAAACACACGACCAUAAUAUAUUAAAAGUUAGGUUUAACAAAACUAAUCUGGUAUUAUAGAUAUUAUUAUUAAUUUUUCUAUAAACUUGAUGAAACCUAAAUAGGUUUGACUUAAAAAACAAAACAGUAAUAUAUGAAGAUGGACUUGUUAUUCGAGGGGGAAAUGAUAGUAUGGGCAUUUACUUUUAUCAAAUGGGCAUGCCAAAUCAGCCCAGUUCAGCCUAUCCUGAAAGGCCCAGUAAAAAUGCAGGCCCAAUUACUCCUCAAUGCCCAAUUCUCUUCUUUACAAUUAUAAAAAUUAGAUGUUUUGCCGUUAUUUAUUAAUUUAUUCAUUAGUUUUAAAAUACUGUAGAAGUCGUAUAAGAAAUCUCUUUAGAAAAGCUCUUAUGCUAACUUAAAAUGAUCGGACUCCUAACUGCGACUUCUGAUUUUCUUAAAAGAAUAUACAUCCACGUGAAUUCUCACAGCUAAUUUCACUUUUAACUAAACCGCAUAACAAUAAUAAGAUUAAACUAGACUUCACAUGUUGCAACAGACGUGCAUUUUUUUUUCUAUUUUUUUAUUUUAAAAUCAUCUGAAAAGAAAAGAAAAAAAAAGGAAAUUUACUAGUACUCGUAUCGUCUUCCUCCUCUCUAAAACCCACGAACCCCUCGUCUCUCUCACUCCCCUCCCCAACCAGAUCAAACGCUAGGGUUUCCUCGACUUCGACUUCGUCUUCCUCCUCGAGCAGAGCAGCAGCAGAGAUGAAGCUCGCGGGGCUCAAGUCGGUGGACGGGGCCCACGAGGAGUCCAUCUGGGCGGCGGCGUGGGUGCCCGCGGCGGACCACCGCCCCGCGGCGCUGCUCCUGACGGGCGCCCUCGACGAGACCGUCCGCCUCUGGGCCCCCGACGACCUCGCCUCCGCCGCCGCCUCCCCCUCGCGGGGCCACGCGCUCGGGGUGGUGUCGCUCGCCGCCCACCCCGCGGGCGCCGUCGCCGCCGCCGUCUCCCUCGACAGCUACGUCCGCGUCUUCGAUGUGGACUCGGGCUCCUCCGUCGCCACGCUCGAGGCCCCUCCCUCCGAGGUCUGGGGCAUCCAGUUCCACCCCAAGGUAGGUGAUGAUCCUACCCCCCACCCCACCAUCUUUGCUUUGCGAUUCACAUUCUGAGGUUGCUUGACUAGAUUCGUUGUGUGGGGGAGAUGUGAGAGGCGUGGGAUUUCAGUGUGAUAAUGUGGUAAUUACAGUUGAUUCGAGCAUCAUUUCCAUCUGUUGUAUGGGUUUGUAUAGUUUGGAAUAUGUCUAGUGUGGUUUUUUUUACCUAGUGUAAUGUGUGAUCUUUUCUCAGAUGUUUUAGUAGAUUUUAGUAUCAUUUUAACUGAAACUUCAUGACAAAAGUGUGGCCUUGAUUGGCACUUUGUGGUAGUUUUAUUAGAUUUAAAGAAAAUAAAGGAAUCUAAAAGAAUGUUUUCGCAAAGUUAAGGAAUAUAUGCAAAGUGAUCAUUUCAAUUUUCGAGCAGUUCAAAUACGCAAUUGAUGACUGAGGUUUGGUUGUUAAAUUCGGUGGGCAAGUCUGACAGUAUAUUCAGUUGUUACUGCUUAUUAUCAUUGACCACAGUACCUCACUUUUGUGGAAUAGCGCUCCUUCAUCUCAACACUGCAACAAAUUUAGUAAUCGCUUUGAAGAGGAUCAUCAUGUGAAGUAUGGUGUUUCAUGCAUUGCUGGCAAAGUGUGUGCAACAUUUACUGCAUAGUCGCUUAGACUCUGAGAAUAAUGUUGAAUCCUACCUUUUCGAUUCUCUUUCAGACUCAGUAAAUUAAGCGACAAUUAAUUGUGUAUCCAAACUCAUUGGACAUAUUUUUAUCAUAGUUACAGGUUUUGCAUAGGUCCUGUUUUCAUGCUUCCUUUGUAUUUUAAAAAUUGAUUUGUAUUCAUGUUUUUCACAAUAUGCCAGAUAAUUAUCUAUUUGGGUAACCCACCUUUCUGUGCAAGAUGACUAAACAUCACUACGCCCAUUGCAAUCACUGCCAGAAAUGGUUUGUCAAAGUAGCGUAUCUGUGGUCAAUUCAUUUUCAUAUUGCCUUGUUGUGAUUCAUCUUGCUAAUUUCCAGAACAUACUAUUUUUCUUAAAUGAUAUUUUGGUAUGUACUAAACCUUGCUAGAAUUGACCUAUGGCCUUAAGACAUUAUUUAUUUUCUUCCAUAAACGUGUUGAUACAAUUAUGUCUAAUUCAAUGAGAAUCGGAGAUGCUUGUUCAAGCUUGUCUUCUCACUUGCAGUUGAGACGUGUUACGCAUUCAGCGUUUUCCACUGUGCUAUCUCUAUAUACCUUUGUUGACAGCAUAUACUAAUUUUUCUAAAACCUGCAGUACCAGGAAUUAACCUCCUUUUAUGGUAGCCUCACUUUACUGAAGGUCUUCACUUGUUCUAGCUACUGACAUUAUUACCUCACCCACAAAUGCUUUCCUUCACAGGGUAGUGCUCUGGCUGCAGCUGGUGGUGGCAGUGGAUCAGUGAAGCUCUGGGACACAGAGAAGUGGAAGCCAAUUACCAGCCUUGCUGUUCCGCGUCCAGAGGGAGCUCGCCCUGAUAAAACAGGAAGCGGCAAGUUUGUCCUUUCAGUUGCAUGGAGUCCUGAUGGCAAGCUCUUAGCUUGUGGUUCCAUGGAUGGCACCAUCGCUGUGUAUGACGCAGUUCGCAUGAAGUUCCUCCACCACCUUGAGGGCCAUCACAUGCCAGUGAGAUCAAUGGUGUUCUCUCCAGUGGACCCGCACGUGCUCUUCACUGCCUCCGACGAUUGCCACAUCCACAUAUACGACGCCAAGGAGAAGAGCCUCAUUGGGGCCAUGUCAGGGCAUGCGAGCUGGGUGCUGAGCAUCGACGUGAGCCCAGACGGCAUGGCGGUAGCGACAGGCUCCAGUGACCGCACGGUCCGGCUUUGGGACAUCAACACGAGGGCGUCGGUGCAGACGAUGAGCAACCACAAUGAUCAGGUCUGGGCUGUCGCCUUCCGACCACCGGGUGGGACAGGAGUCCGCGCAGGCCGGCUUGCCAGCGUGUCAGAUGACAAGAGCAUCACCCUGUACGAUUACUCAUAGUUUUAACACUGCAACCUGCAACUUCAUUGUAGUCAGCUGUUUCCAACUUGCAUUGGAAAAAAAAACCUGUUGUACAAUCCUAAUUAAGCUCAUGAGUUGCAAGUAGAGUGCGUUUAUUUCCAGUAUUGGCCUCAGAGUUGCAAACUCGCUCCUUAUUGUUCUUUUGCAAGUGAUCUCAAGUUGUCAGUUUGAAGUAAAAAUAUCUUCAAUUCUAGCCCGAUUAAGUGCUUUUGUCACUGGAAUUUAUAAUCUUUUUUUACAGUCCUCAUAAGCCAUAAUGUGAAUAUGUGUCUUGCCUAACUCUGAGACGCCUCAGUGUUUAUAUCUGAAGGUAAACAUAGAAAUGCGCUAUAGAAAUGCUUCAGUUUUUCAAAGUGAAGCAUCACACGACACGAUUCAAUCUUGUUCCUGGAAGAUGUUGCAAUUUUGCUAACUAGUAAUUUGCCCGUGGUAACGCUACGGUAGCAUUCAGUAAUACAAAUUAAACAAUCAAAAGAAUACAAUAUAUGUUUUCUCAAACAUACAUAAUAGAAGGUUUAAUAUUAAACACGAGUUAUUAUAUGGUUAAUUACAAAGCCAUUCUAGUAAAAAUAACAUCGCAACUGUUUCAUUGUUUCGAAACAUUAUGAGAUUUAUUUAUCCCUCGUCUAGAUCCAUUGACAUGCAUACGAAUUUGGAUAUAUAUAAAUCGUCUCUUAGCGGGGAUACAAAGCCCUUCUUAAAAAAGAUAAAUGUAUUCAAAACCCAAAACGUCUUAUAGUGGGAUACAAAGGAAGUAAUUCCUAAUGUACGCCUUCAGAAUCAAAGCAUAGACAUAAAAAAUCAAAUCAUCCAUCAACAUCUAAUGUUUAAUCUAUAUCUCAUUUUAGAUAGUUCAUUAUCUACUAUCGUUUUUCUUAUAAACCAUAAAAAAAUAGCUAUUCCUAUACAUAUGUCACCAAAUAGAAUUUUCCUUCUAUUUUAUCUUGUUCACAUGGCCCAAAUAUUAUUAGGAGGAGCAACACCAUUAUUCAUUUUGCAAAUCAACGAUCAGCAGUUAAUUACCUGGAAUAUUAUCCUAAUCAACACCAUUAAGCUUAUGAGGUAUGCACCACUAUUUCUGGAAUACUAUCAUAAUCAAUUUGCACACUUCUUAAAUGAAGUUGAUUGUUGAAUCGAUAAUCAUGAGGCAAACAAUUCCCAGAAAAUCUGUCCACUCAGGACCUUGGCUCUGAAAAAAACCAGUGAAUGAACGGAUAUUGAAGAAAACCAUUAUGGGUUUCUUUGGAUGAAUUUAGCAUUGUUGAACAAUCAUCGAUGUUUACAUCCUAUAUUCCAAAGAACACAAAUCAGAUCACUUACACCACCAUUUGCUAAGACCAAUGCCAUCACUGUUGCUGCCCAAAUCACUUAGGACAAAGGAUUCCACAUAAAGCUGAGGAACUUGAUGCUCUUGUUCUAUUCCAAAAGGAAGUAAAAAAUAUGAGGAUUUCAGAACAGGAAUGUAGGUAAACAAUGAUCAGAAAAAGGCAGAUAAACUUCUCCAAUCUGCUUGCACCGGACAGCUGCAAGCGUUCUACUGCAUCUUCUGAUGAAAGCCCCACGUGAAAUGUAUUCAGCUCCUCAAAAAAUGUCUACAAGGAGCAGAUUCACCUGUUAUUAUAUAUCCUUACAAAGCACAGCAUUAAGACUAUAUGUUUCAGAACCCGUCAAAGUCUACGAUAUGCCAAAUUAUACAAAAGUCUACACCUUGCGUAUGUACUGGUGUCUGGUCACCUGAAAUAUAGAUAUUACCUGAAGAUUAUUGCCAGUUGAAGACCAUGCAAAAGUCUGAGAUGCAAUUAAAAAGUUUAACCUGAGAUAGAAAGUAGAAAAUUGUUAGGACACCGCAUCAUUCUGAAUUUUAAGUCGACCAAACAUAUAUAUGUGACAGGAAAAAUUGCAACCAGUUGCUAUAGAAAAAUAUAAAUUUCGCUUAAAAUAUCUUAAAACUAAUCAAAUCCAAACAAAGGUACAGUUGUUCCAACCUAUCUUUUCGAAUUCUCAAAGACAAGAUCACAAAACACAUGAGGUGCUUCAAUCUGAAUGUUUUGGUUCAAGAUACCUUUCGGCGGCGGAGGAACGGCGGCGUGGCUCCGUAUAGGCGGCGGUUGAGGCGGAGGCCGAGGAGGAGGUCGCCAAAGCAGUUUGUCGGAGGAGACCGGCGAUGCGUGACGAUUUGAGUGGCGGAGGGACGGCGGUGAUGCCGGUUGAGACAGUCCGAGGAGACUUCAGCGGCCGAGGGACAACGACGGGAGACCGGAUCGGCGAUGUCGGUUGAGGCGGCGGCGGCAGGCAGUCGUCGGAGAGGCGGCGGAGAAAAAAAUUCCAAAUCCAGAAGAGAAGCUAUGGUUAACGCAAGAAAAUUCAAGAAAAAAAUGGGUGGGAGAUAGAGGGAUGAUGGUCAUUUCAUAUCAGCUUGUACAUUCAAACUAAUUUGAUCCUGUUCACUUAUAUAAUCAUAUCAAGAUAUUUUUAUGAAAUGAACAUCAAACUAUAUGCUUGAGAAGAUUUUUCUAACUUUCAGGAAGUCCGUGGUCGCACUUAUAUUAUGAUUUUCUAUAGACUUUGUGCAAAUUCUCGAAAGGAACUAUAGUAUAGUAACAUAGGCAGUGGUUCGCACUUAUGAAAAAAAUCUGCUUAAAAUAUUCUAUUGUGUGGUCUAGAUUAUGCAGAUAAUAGUCCCCUGUCCAUGCUCUAAGAGGAAAGAUCUAGCAAGUAUGAUGGUGCCUCCCGUUCGACAGGUUUCUGACAAACAAUGCACAUAUACAUUACAAGAGAAUUGUCUGUGACGUCGCGGAUCAAAAUGGGGACGUGGUCAACCUAACAAAUUGGGUAUGUCUGAAAUGAACCCACCCUAACAGAAGAAAAGAAAGAAAAACAACUGUCCGGUAUUCCUCUGUCUGCAAGGUAGGGAAAAAUCAUUACCAACGGAAAUCAUUUGUAUAAUCACCCCCAAUGGAUCAGCUAUCAAUGUAGACCAAAAGAUUCAGCAAUAUGAAAGUUGAAUUAGGGAAACCAUUAUUGAUCAACCUAUAACAGGAAAAGAUAAUCUGCAGCAUAUCAUUUUAUACCCACAGCUUUUUGACAUAAGCAUUUUAACAAACACAAAUCGUGCACACACCUGAUGGAGACAGGGAAGCAGCAGUCCUCCACACUGCCACAGGAGUAGGCGUCGACGGCGGUGGCGUUGGUGGCGGGGGAUACGGCGUCGGCGUCGGCGUCGGGGUCGGGGAGGAGUCACUGCGAGGGGUGGCGGCAUCGGUAGUAGGUGGGCGGAAGGAGGAAAGGCGGGGGGACAGCGUCAGCACUGGGAGGAGGAGGAGAGGUGUGGAGAUCCUGAGCGGCAGGGGCGGCGGGGGUUAGGGUUGGGAAUCGCGAGGGAAUCGACGGGGGCAGCUACCUGAAAGAGGGAGGGCGUAGCCGCAAUGGAGGCAAGGUGGAGAGCGAUGGGCGGCGGUGACGAUGGUGGGCGCCGGCGCGGCGAUGUGGGAGAGGCGCAACGAUGGAGGGGAGGCGCGGCGAUUUUUCGCGGUACGGAGGGGCGCGCGGCGCGAUGGUGGUGCGGACUGCGGAGGAGGAGCACAUCGAUUGCCGCCGGGCGGUGAGGGGGCGAGGACGCGAGGGGGAUGCGCACGGCGGCGAGGGGGCGAGAGAGCACGAGGAGAGGAGGUGCGGCGCUGGGCGGUGGGAUGCGGCGUGAUCUCGGGCGUGAGGAGAUGGGUGCGGGGAGGGAAGGAGGGGGAGACGUGGGGUAAUGUGAGGCGUUGGAUUGGAUGAUUUUGGACCAUUGGAUGUGUCACAUGAUGAACGAGUAAAAGCAUUUGUUGAACUAAUAUAUGUCCAGCCACGGAUAAUUCAACAAAAAAUACUACACGUGCAAAAAUAAAAUGUUACUAGCUGUUUGCAAAUGUUGAUAUUGCAUGGAAUCUUAUCACAAUUCACACGUAUAUUCAAAUGGUUCUUAUCAUGGUUUGUUUAUCAUUUUAUUAUAGUAAUAAUCCUUCCUUCUAUGAUAUUUGUGAGUUCUCUACUUACACAAUGGCAUGCCUAUUUGUUUAUCAGUCUACUUAGUUAUGGAUACAUGAUAAUACUAGAAAAUUGGCGUGCUUGGUAAUUUAACCUAUGAUAAUACUAUUUAAAUCUUAUUUACAAUGCCAGAUUUUCUUAAAUAGCGAUUGGUUCAAUAUUCAUAAAUGUCGAUAAACAUUGUUCAAUUUUUAGUUCUAUACUUGUAGACUAUUGAGAAAAACAGUACCAAAACAUGGUAGUAAUGCGUGCUACUAACAAACCGGUGAACAUUUUGUAUUAUAAGGAUAUAAAAGCGUAUUUUAUAAAUAUUCUAUCUUACUUUUGUAAAUUUAAGGGUAUUGAAUAAAAGCUUUUAUAAUUUGUAAAAUCGUGAGAAAUAUUUUCUUGUUAUGUUUAUAGUUGCUAUUUUAUUGUUUCGAUUUUUUUUAUAGACAUGGGAUAUCCGCAUGGUUAAGUUAUCUAUUUUGAAUUUUAACAUAGUCACUUAGAAACAUUUUUCACUGACUUUUAUUUAAAAAUAGUAAAUUUUGUGAAUUAGAAAAAAAAAUCAUUUUUCAUUUUUCAUUCUUAAUUGUUUUUAAUACCUGCUACUCUUUUGUACAUUAAAUUUCCUUUAAAACAAUAAAAUUUGUGGAUUAGCCAAAAAAUAUAUAUAUUUUCAUUUUCAUUUUUAUUUUUAAUACUUGCUACUCUUUUUAUACAAUAAAUUUUAUUCUUUAUAUUACUUAAAUAUAUGGUUUCCAUUUUAUGACGUACGGUGUAUUAGAAUAUAAAAUGACAUUAAUCUUGAGUUCUGAUCAUUAAUAUCUUUCGUAGUAUACUAUAUCAGUAAUAUCUGAAAAAAUAAUACGAAUCCAACUCUUCUUGUAUGUUUAAGAUUGCCACAUAGAUUUUGCACUGCAUUCCAACUCCUCAUAUCUGCAAGCGUGCAGCCAGUUUAGUUCACAGUUAGUCCCUCCGUUUCACAAUGUAAAUCAUUUUAGCAUUUCCCACAUUCAUAUUGAUGUUAAUGAAUCUAGAUAUACAUCAAUAUAAAUGUGAGAAAUACUAAAAUAACUUAUGUUGUGAAACAGAGGAAGUAAAAUACAUCCAUAUACUCCAUCUAAUUAAUGUAUUCACUGUCAACCAUCGGUUAAUUAGCGUGGCUAAUAGUACGCGAGAGAUCCAGAAGGACAUGACUACUCAGAACACAUCCAUGUGUCGUUAAGUUAUAUGGCCAUUUGGACCAAUCAAAUGCUGGCUGAACGGCUAGCUUGAGACCAGUAGAUUAUGUUGGGUAUAUGAAACAUGACUUUGCUACGAAGGGACCGGAUAGGGCUGUUGAUGAAUUUUUUGGGCCACCUUGGUUGCACAACAUCCUAUGUUUGUGUUAAUUUUAGGUGACUGAUUUUAUUGUGCGUUCACUUUGCAUAACAACAUGACCAGAUACUAUGAAUCAUUGAUGAAAAUGUGCCUGCUGAGCAUAACUCUACUUUUUGAAGACUCAUCAUUUAGACAUCUAUCAUUCAAUGACUCGCUUUGUUUCGCGUGCUGGUAAGACCAUGUUUAGUUCACACCAAACUUCCCCUAAACUUUUAACUUUCCAUCACAUUACAUCACAUCCAAAACUUUCCUACUUACAUAAACUCCUAACUUUUUUUCCAAACUACCAACUUUCUCUAAACUUCUCCCCAAUUUCAAAAACUAAACACAGCCUAAGUAGCUCGGCCUAAAUGCUCCAUAGAAUUCAGCCUUAAGGAGCGUUUGGACCAAGCUACUCAGCAAAAAGAGCUGAUGAGGGUUCUGUUGCAUAAAAGCAUCUAUCAUUGCUGUAGCAGAGCAAUGUUGCAUAUUAGCAUAACACAAUGCCCACAGAAAUUAGCCACAAAAUUAGCAUGUUUUAGAACCGCAAGAGUUAUUGAUAAACAUUAUCUAAAAUUCAAAGAAUAGAACAGGGGAACACCUUCUGGCAGGGGAUUAUGGGAGUAAGGGAGCAAUUUUAUAGAUUCUGUAAAAAGAAGGUGGGGGAUGGAAAGAAUACCAUGUUUUGGGUAGAUAAUUGGAUUGGAGGAAAGCCACUCGCAGAGAAGUUCCCCAGACUCUACAAUAUUUCCUUGUCAAAACAAGUAACUGAGACAAAAGUUCUAAAUGCUGGCUGGGAUGCUUUGAAGUUUAGGAGAAGCCUGGUGGGGGAGAAAAUGAUAGACUGGCAAAACUUGCAACAUUUAUGUCAACCAAUUGUGUUGACUGCUAAAAGUGAUCAGAGUUGUUUGGAAACUUAAAAAAAAAAUGGGAACUUCACUGUUAAAGUCCUUGUAAGCUUUUAUACAAUGCAGAACACAGCACACAGGGUUCCGUUCUUCUCGUCGUCCUGCACGUCGUACUGACGCCAUUGUCGACAAGCUCGAGACGAGCUUAGCAUGGGGAGGCGGCUCAGGGAAGGCUGGGAUUUCAGCUAAUAUAUAGCCUGCAAACAUAAUAUACGAGUUUCGCGUUUUAUACUUUUGUUGCAAUCUGGACAAGUUUCCAGGAGUUCGUUCAAAUGUUGUGUAAAUUCACAAACAUGCUGUCCUUUUUGUAGUGACUUUUGCAGCGUCGUUGCCCACGUUUUAUGCAAGAAAAAAAAAAAAGAGGAAAAACGAUCUCCCAAUUAUGAUGUACUGGGACCGUUGUGAAAGUACUACUUGUAGAAACACUUAACCGUUAACAGCAAAACAGGAGUAGCACCAAAGAAGGAUAAGGAUAGAUACGCAAUUCAAUACAAAGGUUGCUUCUAAAGGUUUUUUUUUUUUUGGGCAUCAGUCUGACAGAACACACCAAAGGUAUGUUUUAAGUGUAAGCAACAUAGCUAGCACAACAAUUUCAUCAUUAUCUUUCUCCAGCCAUCACAAAGCAAAUUAAUAUCGUUCCAAACAUUUAAGGAGCUCAUGAAUCCAAUAAUCCGGAGGUUUUUUUAAAAGGACUCAUCUCAACAUCCAUAACAAGCAAACGAUAGUUGUUUCCGACACCAACAUUAGACCAUAUCGAGUCAACUGACAACCAUAGACUAGACCAAAAAUACGGCGGACUGCAUAGAUAAAACAUCAGUGUCGAGCAGAAGGAACCGCUCAGCACUUGACCUCCUUCAGCCCAUGAGAGAAGUAAAGGAAGGUUGGGUCGGUGGCUCCGUCCUUGUAGUAGGCAAACACCAAGCCGCCAUCAUCAUGCAUGCUCUCACCAACAAAGCUGAAACAGAUCAUAAGAGACAGCAUAAGAAGCAGGUUUGAAUACAAGUCUUAUUGCUUCAAGAAUUUAAUGUGAUAGAACAUAGCAAAUCAUUUAAACUGGAAUUUGUAGGCACUAAUGGUGAGACAUGUUCAUGGCAUCACAUAUGUUACUAUUUCCUGGACCUGUGGCAAGCAAUUAGUGAACUUACAACUGAAGGUCCUUGAGCUUUCCAAGCAAGUACUUGGUGGCACCCUCAAUGUUCUUCUUGAAUUCCUCUUGCUUUUCCGCAUCCAGCUUGGCGGAGAGGUUCUUGAUGUAGCGCUUCAUGAAGGUCACAAACUGCUUCUUGUCAAAAGGAGGUUGCUCCUGCCAAACACACAUGGAAUUUAAGCACAAAAAUAAAGUGCAGAUAGUAUCAUAUACAAGAGCCAAGGUAAUGGAAGUGAGAGCAACCUGAAGACGGAAGGUGUCCACAAUGUCGACCACCUUCACAGCUUGGUCAUCAACACCCUCAUCAUCACCACCACCCUCAGCAGAUGGGUUGGCACCAAUGUCCACAUCAAUAGCUCCUUGAACGACCCACUGCAAGGAUACAACAUAAUAUAAGUAACCAAACAGAAUCAAAUGACAUCUUCACAAGGUAAUAGACAAAAUCGUGGUUAUCUCAAAAGAUAUCCACAGCUGCAUUCUGUUGCAAUAAUUCAUAUAUGCAGUUGAUCAAAACAUCCAUUGGUAUUGAAAUUUGAAAGGAAAGCAAACAUCAAAUUAAUACUCAAAACGAAAGCAAGAUUGUUUCACUGGUUAGGAACAUAUUAUAAUGAUCUCUGAUUUGAAAAACAUGUUUCAUUGAUACAACUAAAUAAAUCGAUACAUUGGAAAUAUCAAUCAACCUAGAAUCCUCAACGCAAAUCUUUCUAAUCCUCAUGCAUUGCAACAAUUAAUAAGGUCAAAAGCCACGUAGCACAGCAUCCACGAGUAUGCAUGAUAUUUAAAGCCUCAGAAGCAUAGACAAGCACUUCAUCUUUUUUUACGAAAUGCCCAAAAGGCUCAUAAUUAAGCUAACUCUGCACAAAUAUGUUGUGCCAAGCAAGCAGUGAAUAAUUUAACAUGCAAUGACAUAUCCACUAAAGAUCGAAGUGUUCACCAAACGGAAUGAUCGAAUUUCACAUAACCAUGUUACACUGAAUCUAAUCGAGGACGGCAACAGAUCAAUCAAAAGCUAGCAAAAGCAUACAGCUGGUGAAUCCGCCUACUAAACAGAAAGCGACAUACCUUGCCAUCGACUUCCCAGAGGAUGCCGUUCUCGAUCUCUCUGUAGGGGAACGAAUCCGACAGGAGCUCGUCACCUGCAACACAUCCAAAUCAAACAAAUCAGAUUUCAGUCAAACCAAUCGCAUCAGCAAACACACAACACAUAAUCCCCCACGAGUUCAAACUCGAUCCCCACACACAAGCAGAUCUGACGAUUCGAUAAAAAAAAAACAAUCAGAAACCACAACCUCCUACCAGUAAUAAUUCUCGGUUAGAUCAUCCGAUUCAAACACGGAAAACGCCCAGAUCUAACCGCGCCACCUCCAAUUCCCAAAAUCCCCACAUCCCCGACUCCAAAAACAACAAAAUUACCCCCGAAAAAAACCAGAGAAAAUUAUGAUCAAUUCACGCACCGGUAAGCAGAUCCUGGUAGACCAACAUGGUGCCGCCUCUUCAAAUCUCUCCCCCCGAAUUAAAAAAAAAAUUCGGCAGCGGAAACCCUAGAGCUCUCUCGGCGAGGGGGGAGUAGCGGCGCGGACGGACGGAGAGAGAGGGUUUGAGGUGGAGGCGACCAGCCGGUAUUUAUAAGCGGGCCGAAAUAUCUGGGCCGCGAUUCUGGCCGUCCGAUCUGGCUGAUGCCGUGGGAAUAUUACCGAUGGACGGCCCAGAUCUCCGAUUUGUGCCGGUUUGGGCUUUUGAGUGGGGGAGAAGCCGGGAGGAGUACGUGGUUGAUUGCCUGCCGUCCGAUCGGGAUAUUGGGGACGGAUAUUCGGAGGCGGACGGCUCAGAUGCGUUUGUGGCGGCCGAAGGGAGGUCAGCGGGGGCGGCACGGAAUCGUUUGGACUUGUCCGCUUUCGCCAUCAUUCAGUGUUAAAGGAUCAUGAAUCUCUACCUCUACUACUUAAAAAAGAGGUGCUUCCAUCGUUCAUCAAAAAAACCGAACGAAAAAAAUCAGGUUUGUCCGAUAAAAAACCGGGCGAAAAAGAAGUGCGGAAAAAGAAAAGAAAAACCAAAACUGUCCGAUCUAGAAAAUCCGGGUCCUAUUCGGUUAGCAUCACCAGGAGAACACGUGCAUAUAUCUCUAUCUCUGCUACUUAAAAAGUUAAGAAAAAUUUCCAAAAAAAAGUGCGAAAAAUAUUUUCUGUCCGAUUCCCAGAAAAAAAAAGGUGCGAAAAACGGUUUCCGACUUCAAAAAAGAGUGCCAAAAAAAAGAUUUUUGUACGAAAAAACAAGCGACAAAAGAAAGUGCGAAAAAUUUCUGUCCGAUUAAAAAAAGGCAAAAAAAGGGUUUCUGUCUUCCGUAAAAAAGGAAAAAAUAACGCGAAAAAUUAUUUCUGUCCGAUUAAAAAAAUCCGUCGUCUGUGCCAAAAAAAACCAAGAUCCAAAAAAAGUGCAAAAAAAAUUCUGGUCGAUUAAAAAGGAGUGCGAAAAAAGAGUUUCCGUCUUAUGUAAAAAAGGAAAAAAUCUCUACCACUUACAAAAUUACGAGUGUUUCCGUCAUCCGUCCGUGAAAAAAUAGGCGACAAAAGAAUCGGGCAAAAAAAUGGAAUCCGAUUAUAUGCGACAUGGUAAAAAGAAAGGGCGAAAAAAAACCGAAUCUGUCCGAUUAAAAACAGUCCAUAAUGUUCAUAAAAAAAUCAUCCAGGGUCCGCAUCAAAUAACACAAGGAUUCCGUGAGGUGUUUCGUCCGUCUUCACCUAUUUUUGUCCACAACAUCAUAAGUCCGAACACACAACAAAUCAUCCAGAGUCCGCAGCAAAUAACACACAAAGUUUUAAUCAAGUUUGAUCCCAAAUACAAGAAUAGAAGAACAGCAAACGGAGAUUAAAAAAAACAAAUUGACCAAAAAUCGAGCGGAGUUUGCCGCAGCCGCCACCGUCUCCCAUGGCCAGAUCUGACGAGGAGGGGGCAUGGAGUGGCCGCCAGUCGUGGCUUGCCGAGCUACGCCGCCGCCGCUCGCCACCGCUGUCGUUUCUGCCGAGGGAGGGAGGCGAGGGUGGAAGGAGCCGCCGCCACUGCCGCCGAAUCCGUUCUCCGCCACCGAAUCCAGCCGCGGCCGCCACCGCCGCCCGAUCUGUGGCGGAAGGAAGGCGAGAGGGGGCGGAGGAAGCCACCGCCACCGACUCCUCCACCCGCCUGAUCUGGCGCGGGAAGAAGGCGAGAAGGGGCGGAGGGCCGCCGACUCUGUGCCGAGAGGGAGAGCGCCGCCGGUGGAGCUGGUGGAGGAUGGGUGAGGGAGUGGCCGAGGGGAAGCGGCGCUGCCGGUGGAUCCCCUCCCCGUUGCCGUGGAGUAAUGGGGAGGGAGCGGGCGAGGGGAAUCGACAGUGUCCCGUUGCCGUGAGGAAGGGGAAGGGAGUGGCCGAGGGGAACCGGCAAGGUCCCCUCCCCGUCACCGCACCGGCGAGAUAGGAGGAAGAGGGUAGGGAUGGCAAUGGAUCGGGUCGGGCACGGGUAGAGCAAAACCAUGCCCGACCCGAUGCCCGACAUUGCCCGCCCAAACCCUACCUACUAGAGUUAGCGGGCAAAACUCCGUGCCCGUACCCAUGCCCAGCGGGCGCGGGUAUGUCCGGCAGGUACCCAAUGGAUCUCACAUGAAUAAUAACUUAAAAGAUAUGUAAUUUAACAAAGAGAAAUAAAAUCAAUAAUUUACCAAAUUAUCGGUUAUCAACGAUAAUUUGAAUUACAUCACAACUUAGUAUCGGUUAGCAUCACAAAUGAACCGAGAGAAAUGGUAUAAGAAUUAAGAAAUGAGUCAAAAUUAUCUAAUACAUAUGAAUCGGGUCGGGCAUGGGUUACCCAUGGGUAAAAAAUGAAACCCGCCUAUUACCCAUAACGUCUUCGGGUCUCGGGCGGGCGUACCCAUGGGUAAAAAGUCACACCCACGCCCGUGCCCAUCGGGUCGGGUAUCCAUGGAUACCCGGACCCAUGGGUAAAAUUGCCAUCCCUAGAAGAGGGGGAGAUGGAGCGGCGACGCCGGUGAGAGGGAGGGGGAGCGGUGACGCCGGUGGGGGAGGGGAGGGGAAAUGAUUUUAGGGUUAGGGUUUGAGCUGCUGAGUUUUUAUAUAGAUCGGGAUCUAUCAGGACCGUCCAUCAGAUUGGACGGCUACGGUUUCUACCGUGUCGGGCCGAGCGCCACUCCCGGGCCGCCCACACUAUUAGGCCGCGUGUACGCUCCGUACGGAAUAAAUUCGCUUUAGCCUCCUUUAUUUGUCCCCUCAAACUCCUAAAACCAGUGCAAAUCUUUAAUUUUUAGUUCACCCGUCGCAACGCAUGGGCAUAUUUGCUAGUCUUAUCUAAAUGGGGAGUACAAAUUGAAUUCUUUUGCUGUUGAACAGAUCAAUUCGAUGGUUGAUAACUUAUCAAUGACAAUUAUGUGUGAAGUUUGUGCUACUUUUCAAAAUCAUAUGCUUCUUUUGCUGUAAACAGCUCAGUUCGAUGCAUGAUUGAUAACUUAUAAACUGACCAUAUGUAUUUCAUCAGUUGAAAUUUGUGCUAGUUUUCAAAAUUAUGCUGGACCCAGGGUUGAGUCUUGAAAGAUGCAUAUUGUCCACAAAGUAACAUGUUUUCAGUAUUUUGAAGAUUUGAUCCACACAACCUCAGAUUCAGAGAAAUUGUUCUCUAAUCAGCUAUUGCUAAAAUAUUUGUAGAUCCUACUUUACUGACAGGGAAGAGCCGAAAGGGAGAUGCUAAAGUUUGAGACAAUGCAAAGUGGGAUUCCAUGCUCCCUCAUGCCCAGAGAAUAGGGACGGAUAAUCCUGACCUCCCAAAUCCCAAUGCAAGAAAAGAAUGGUUUUCACGGUAAAGUGAGCAUAUUUUUCAGGGCAAAGAUCAGUAAAGUGAGCAUUUUGGAAUAAAGGUGUCAAAGCAACUUGCAUGGCUCCUGUCCUUUUGUCAUUCAGUUGUAAGCAUGGUACUAGUUAAUUUGUAGAGGCUUGAUCAAUUCAUCUUCAGAAAUGUUCUUGUUCGACAUAAGCUUGAUUAAGACCAUCUCAGCUGUAAUCAUUUAGGUUCAAAUCAGUUCUGAAAUACUACUAAGCUGCAGAUAUUACAGACAAUUUGCAGUUUUUGAUAUGUACACAGUACUUGAUGCUUCAUACUAGUUCUAAUAGGGCGCAUCAAGUCAGCUCUAUGAUUGCUUUGUCUAGUGCCGUCUUCAGAAUCAGGAAGAUUAUUUUGUUACAAGAAAAAAAAAAGAAGCAAUAACGUUUGCCAUAUUCAGAUGAAAGCCUGAAACAUCAUCUGAAUUUGUGACUGGAUGAAAGCUCAACAGGCCCAUGGUUAGCUGAGCUAACUGAACCUGGACAACACUUGUAUAGUAAAUCCCUUCAGAAUGAGAGACUGCUCUGUGCUUCGCUAAGACGGCACAAAGUCACUUCAAGCUGCUAUGCCACUUCUCUCUCAUUCUUGCAUGAAAAAGUUACACGCACUACUUCUCAGUCUGAUACAGUUACAGAGCUUCCUUUAUCUUCUCUGAAGACUGUACCUGUACCUUUGUCACCUUUGCCUCUCAUUAGAUUGUUAGCACCAUCAGUAUACAUUCAGUUUCGUAAAAACUUUCGGAAAUAUGGACAACUGUUUUCAGUAAGUACCAGUGGAGAAGUAUGGAUAUCUACCAAACAGUCCCAUGUGACAGAGAGCUGACUAAGGGCAUGGCCAACGCAAGGGGUACCUCAAGUGCCAUCUAGGAUGGGGCAGCAACACCCCCAAAAAGCUAAUUUCCCACCAUGUAAGUUGCUUCAGGUGGUAGUCUCGUAUUUUUAUUUCAGUCCCGGAUGUUUUUCAUUUUAGUCCUCACAAUUUUCCAAUUUAUAUAGAAGUUCAAAUUUUACACUAAACACCCCAAAAUCCAGAAAUUAAUAUAAAAUCUCUUCUCCCUCAUUUCCCCACCGACACCCCGAUCCCCUCCCUAUGCCGUCCCACUUCACCAGCCGAGCUCCGCCGAGCUCAUCUGCCCUCUUCCCUCUCUCCAGCUCGAGCUCUCUUCCCUGGAGGCAUCGCCGCCUCUCCCCUCCCUGGUGGCGGUGGAUGGAGGCGCAGGAGGUGGGGAUCGAUGCGGCGGCGACGGAUCGAGGCAACGGUGGCGUGGAACGACGCGGGGGCACGCCUCGCCGCCAUACCCCUGUCUCCUCGGCGGCGCGUGGAUCGGGGUGGAGGGGAUGGAGAUCGAGGCGGCGUGGGUGGAGGAUCGAGGCGGCGGUGGCAGAUCGAGGCGGAGGUGGCGGCGGCGGAUUUGCCGGUCGGGAUGGUGGAAUAGCCGGCAUCGGCGCAGAAUGAGGCGUCGGUGGCUCUUCUUCUCCCCCACUGACUAGCCUCGAGCUCGCCGGAUCCGCACGGCAGCGACGACCUUGACCUUGACCAUGGUGGCAAUGCGCGCGGGAGCUCGAGUUGGUGGCAAGCUAGAGCAAUGGCAUGGGGCAACACAACUACCCAACGCGCAUCCUCAUCGAUUCCUCCGGACGCCAGAGCGGUGUCUCCGACAAGGUGCGCGGACCUCCUGCAGCAUUCACACACCCUGUAGGAAUGCGGCUCCUUCCGACGUGGCGCGAUUAUUCCCCUCGGAAAGGGUGAGACCACGCUCCAGCGUGGAGCGUUGGCCAUGGCCUAACAUCUGCAGAUCUUCUUUAUAUAUAUAUAUAUAUAUAAUGUGUAUAGCAGUUGCAGGGAUACUUGCCAUCAGUAAUCAAAAGUUUCAGAAUAGUUUGCUGAAUACUACCUUAACUACAGGUAAUAAAACCUACCCUUGCCUUGCCAAAAGCCAAUACUCUUUUUGUUAAACAGGACAGCACAGCCUCUUGCCAAUUGGCACGGGAUUGUGAAGAAGUUGAGUGAGGACACUUACCAAAAUUUGACUGCAAAAGCAAUACUUGAGGAACUCCACGAACAAAAUAUAACCAUAUAUGCAGAAAUAAUAUACCGUGUAUCCUAUUAAUCAUAGCAGAACACCAAUCCUAGUGGAACUGAAUUGCAUUGUUUUUAAGAUACCUUUUUGUUAUAGUAGGCCCCCACCCCCACCAGGCCACUAGGCUUUCUCAGGGCUUUCACAAUGCAAGUACAUGGCAGUUACCUCGUCUACGUGGAGGAAAAAGCAAGUGGGCCCCAUAUCUCUGAUUGGUUUUUCGCAUCUUACUAGAGGAACGAUAGCCUCAGCGCCUCACUCUGCAAAAAGGCUGGCGCAGUGACUGAUUGCCAAGCGUGGCCGUCAUCUGGGGCCGCCACAACUGUGCCACCACCAAGUUGCUUGCACUGUGGAGAGCGUGGCUCUGAAUUGCUUCAUCCUAUUUGGCAGUCAUUGGCAUAGCUUGCAUUGCUACUGCCCUCAUCCCAGCCGGCAUUUAUAACUUUUGCCACAGUUACUCCUUUUGACAAAGGAAAUGUCGUAGAGUCUGGGGAACUUCUCUGCCAGUGGCUUCCCUCCAAUCCAAUUAUCUACCCAAAACAGGGUAUUCUUUCCAUCCCCCACCUUUUUUUCACAGAAUCUAUAAAAUUGCUCCCUUACUCCCAUAAUCCCCUGCCAGAAGGUGUUCCCCUAUUCGGUUCUUUGAAUUUUAGAUAAUGUUUAUCAAUAACUCUUGCGGUUCUAACUUGUUGAUUUUGUGGCUAAUUUCUGUGGGCAUUGUGUUAUGCUAAUGUGCAACAUUGCUCUGCUACAGCAAUGAUAGAUGCUUUUAUGCAACAGAACCCUCAUCAGCUCUUUUCGCUGAGUAGCUUAGUCUAAAACACUCCUUAAGGCUGAAUUCUCUGGAGCAUUUAGGCCGAGCUACUUAUCGGCACGCGAAACAAAAACGAGUCAUUGAUAGCUGUCUAAAUGCCUACUAUUCCCCCCGUUUCAUAUUGUAAGUUAUUCUAGUAUUGUUCAUAUUCAUAUAAAUGUUAAUAUAUAUGUCUAGAUUCAUUAACAUCUACAUAAAUAUGGGUAAUGAUAGAAUGACUUACAUUAUGAAACGGAGGAAUAUAUAUUUUAUUAAUUAGGAAAAGGCAGGUCUAGUGAUUAUUCUUCAAAAAGGUAGAGUUAUGCUCAGCCGGCACAUUUUUAUCAGUGAUUCAUAAUAUCUGGUCGAGUUAGGCAAAUUGAUCUCACAAUAAAAUCAGUCACCUGAAAUUAACACAAACAUAGGAUGUUGUGCGAUCGCGUCGGCCCCAACAAAUUCAUCAACAGCUCUAUACCUUCGUAGCAUAGGCUGUGUUUAGUUGGUGCCAAAAUUGGAAGUUUGGUUGAAAUUAGAACGAUGUGACAGAAAAGUUGGAAGAUUUUUUUUUUUGAGAAUUACACAUUACAACUCCCUAUGAACGCACGCACGCAAACCCUAACACAAACAUAGGAUGUUAUGCGACCGCGUCGGCCCAACAAAUUCAUCAACAGCUCUAUGCCUUCGUAGCAUAGGCUGUGUUUAGUUGGUGCCAAAAUUGGAAGUUUGGUUGAAAUUGGAACGAUGUGACAGAAAAGUUGAAAGAUUUUUUUUAGAAUUACACAGUACAACUCCCUAUGAACGCACACACGCAAACCCUAACACAAACAUAGGAUGUUGUGCGACCGCGUCGGCCCAACAAAUUCAUCAACAGCUCUAUACCUUCGUAGCAUAGGCUGUAUUUAGUUGGUGCUAAAAUUAGAAGUCUGGUUGAAAUUGGAACGAUAUGACAGAAAAAAUUGGAAGAUUUUUUUUUUAGAAUUACACAGUACGACUCCCUAUGAAUGCACGCACGCAAACCCUACCCUCCUUCAGAUUGACGAAGUCACCACAGGCGCCUCGCUGUCGACGGGUACGUCGCCUACCACUAAAAAAAUUCGCUCCCAUGGGGAGUCGAACCCAGGACCUCGGUGCUACUGAGGCUCUUAUAACCACUAGGCUACAGGCUCUUUCAUGAAAAGUUAGAAGAUUAUGUGUGUAGAAAAGUUUGAUGUGAUGAAAAAGUUGAAAGUUUGUUUAAAAAAAAUUGGAUCUAAACACGGUCGUAGUCAUGUUUCAUAUACCCAACAUAAUCUACUAGUCUCAGCCUAGCCGUUCAGCCAACAUUUUAUUGGUCCAAAUGGCCAUAUAAUUUAACGACACAUGGAGCAACAUGAUAAAGGAUGUGUUCUGAGCAGCGAUCCGAUGAAUUGCCGAGUAACUAGUCAUGUCCUUCUGGAUCUCUUGCGUACUAUUAGCCACGCUAAUUAACCGAUGGUUGACAGUGAAUAAAUUAUUUAGAUGGAGUACAUGGAUGUGCGACUGUGAACUAAACCGGCUGCAUCCAUGCAGCCAUGAGGAGUUGGAAUGCAGUGCAAAGUCUAUAUAUGUGGCAAUCUUAAACAUACGAGAAGAGUUGGAUUCGUAUUAUUUUUUCAGUUAUUACUGAUAUAGUAUACUACGAAAGAACUCAAGAUUAAUAUCAUUUUAUAUUCUAAUACACCGUAGUCUUAACAUAGAAAUCGUAUAUUUAAGUAAUAUAAGCAAUAAAAUUUAUUGUAUAAAAAGAGUAGCAAGUAUUAAAAAUAAAAAUAAAAAUGAAAAUGAAAAAAAUAUUUUUUGGCUAAUCCACAAAUUUUAUUGUUUUAAAGGAAAAUUAAUGUACAAAAGAGUAGCAAUUAUUAAAAACAAUUAAGAAUGAAAAAUGAAAAAAGAUAUAUUUUUUUCUAAUUCACAAACUUUACUUUUUUAAAAAUAAAAGUCAGUGAAAAAUUAUUCUAAGUGACUAUGUUAAAAUUCAAAAUAGGUAACUUAACCAUGUUGAUAUCCAUGUCUAUAAAAAAAAAUUGAAACAAUAAAUAGCAACUAUAAACAUAACAAAAAAUAUUUCUCACGAUUUUACAAAUUAUAAAAGCUUUUAUUCAAUACCCUUAAAUUUACGAAAGUAAUAUAGAAUAUUUAUAAAAUAUACUUUUAUAUCCUUAUAAUACAAUCUUCACCGGUUUGUUAGUAGCACGCAUUACUACCAUGUUUUGGUAUUGUUUUUUCUCAAUAGUCUACAAGUAUAGAACUAAAAAAUGAACAAUGUUUAUUGACAUUUAUGAAUAUUGAACCAAUCGCUAUAAGAAAAUCUUACAUUGUAAAUAAGAUUUAAAUAGUAUUAUCAUGGGUUAAAUUACCAAGCAAGCCAAUUUUCUAGUAUUAUCAUGUAUUCAUAACCAAGUAGAAUGAUAAACAAAUAGGCAUGCCAUUGUGUAAGCAGAGAACUCACAAAUAUCACAGAAGAAAUGAUUAUUACUAUUAUUAAACGAUAAACAAAUCAUGAUAAGAACCAUUUGAAUAUACGUGUGAAUUGUGAUUACAGUUAGACAAUCCACAUGACCAAAAUCUGCCUUAGCAGCAAACACUUUCCAAUUUGUAAUUGUCAGAACAAUCAACUGGACUAACCAAGUAGACAUGCCAUUCCAAUUUCCAAUUGUCAAAACAAUCAAUUGUAAUAAUCAGGUAGAAUAUCUAGUGGAGACAAAUAUCUCAACUCAAGUGACUAAUUGUUAGAGGCAUGUCAUGACGACCUUCGGUCGAACUGCCAAAACACUUACCAAACCACGCCGAAGUGCAAGGCAUGCUCGAGCGGUGAAGCGUCCAUUGAGCGAUGAAGCAAAAGAUCUUCGCCACCAUAUGAUGAAGGAGCAGCAUAAGGCAAAGGAGGAUGUGCCUUUGACAGAGACCUUCGCCCCAGGAAGCCCAACAAGCGGCCCAGUUAGGGGCCUUUAGGGCCCAUAGACCGGUUAGUUGGGCCAAAAGACAACUAUUACCCAUGUAAACAUCCUUGUCAUGAGAGCGACUAAGUUAAUUCCCAAGUAAGCAGAAACCAUAGGGUUGUAACCUUGAUACUGUAAACCUAUAAAUAGACCCAAGGGGUAUGUAAUAAGGGAUCUAAUUUUUAAGAACUCAAUACAUAUUCCCUACAUAUUUUUCACAUAUUAGAGUAAAGCAUGCCCUUUCGGCAGACGCAUUUGUCAAUCGACAACACUAAUCUAGAUUAUAAUGAAAAUAAUUGGAAUUCACAACACCUACAUUCCAUUAGUAAUAGCACCCAAUUAAGAAUCACCAUCUUCUCCUAACCUAGAAAAAUAUCAAAACCAAAGAUCUCUAUUACGUUGCUUGUUGAAACCCAACUGAACCCCUCUUUGAAAUCCCAUUACCGUUGCAGUCGAACUCAAAGAAAGGAUCAUCCUCAUCAAAACCAAAACAUGUAACAACUACACUAUACAUAUCAGUCUUGCCUUUUUUUUUUUUCAGAAGCACGACUUCCGUCAAAAGAGUAUAUGCUCAUCAUCUUCCAAAUCAUAAUAAUUUAGGCUUAUCGGAAUCCUGCUGAUUAGUACCGACCUCGGAAGAAUAUUGUCCAGAGCUGCCUUUAUAACAUGUGCAUCUAAAAAUUGUUGGGCGUGGUUGCCAUGUUUUCUGGAUCACCCAUUUGAUAGAAUUAGCGGAUCAUAUCCUUUGACGUUGCCCUAUCAAGACAAAACAUACCUUUCAUGUGCACAAGUGCCUUAACUGGACAAUAACAACAAAUCACUGCAGCAACACUACGGCAACACUCAUGUAAAGAUUGAGAUAGUUUCUGUAUUAACAAUUGAUUUUUGUUACUAUAGUACAAAAUUUAACUUGGAAUAUUGUUGAAAAACAUUUAUCUUGAAACAGCUAGAGGAUAUAAAGUAAAACUUGGUCUUUUUUGAAAUAGUUUCUCUUUUCAGGUUCUAGCAGUAGCACCUCAAAUGUAUGUUAAGAUUGGACAUAAUGUCGAGAAUAGAAAAAAAAAGGACUGAAAAAUAAUAGAGGCUUAUAUAAGAGUAGAGUUAAAACUGAUCUUUUUUUGAGUCAGCAUGCCACGUAGUGCUUCAGAAAUUUGAUCAUGUGCUUCCUAAUCCCUAUCAUUCAAUGAAUUGCCAGGAUAGCUGAUCGACUUCAACUCAACUUGCAUGAAUUUUUGCAGUCAGUCUUCAAAAUUUUACUAUUUUCUAGAAUUCUCAUAAUUUUCUAGGCAUUUUUGUACUCCACUACUCAGAAUAUAUUUUGCUAAUUACAUUUUUUCCUCUAACAGUGAUGAAGGUGCUCAUUGGGUGGAGAUGGAAUGACAUGAAGGCCAACUUUAGGAAGAUCUAGAUUUGUGACCCCAUAUUGUGAAUAAAGCAGUGUUAUGUGCAAUUAGUAUUUGAUGUCAACUUCUAUAGAUUUAGUCCAGUUUGAUGUCAACUUCAGAUUUAGUCCAGUUUGAUGUCGACUUCAAAUUUAGUCCAGUUUGCUGUGCUGUUAGAUUGGGCAAGCCAAAUAUUUGCGAUAACAAGUACUAAUUACUUGUUCUACUUGUUUUGACAUUUCUGAUGUUUUCUUCUAUUGGAGCAAUUACCCUGAUUACUAACCGAGUCCUGCAGUCAGUUUGUAGUUAUGUUUUCAGAUCUUUUAGUCUUUUUCAGAAUGUUUCUGAUUUUCUCCAGAUCUUUUUAAAAUAUUUUGAAUUUUCUGUAGGUUUAUUUUUUGACUUUGCAUACUGUUUAAAUUCCAAAAUUUUCUGUACAUUAUUUCGUAUUUUAGGAAAAGCUACUUCAUAACUGCUGCAAAUGAUAUUUGAAUCCUGACUUUGAAUUUUAGAUGAGAAAGAUAUAUCCCCGUCACUACCCAUCCAAACAAGGGCGGAGCUAGAGAAAAAUGAGGGGUUCCUAACUUCUCAUAUCCUCCUCUCAGUUGAGCUAGUUAUAGAGUUUUGGGCCAGAAUUUUGGGCUUUUGGGGUGAGGGGGGUUCUCUGAUUUGGGUUAGGGGUGCCUAUAUGGUGAAAAUAUGAGGGUAACAGGCUAUUUAGAAUUUUAGGCAGGGUUCCUGGGCACCCCCCGGCUCAUUGGGCUCCGCCACUGCAUCCAAACCAAAUUGCCAAACCAGCUAAACCCACGGUGGAGGGGUAUUGGAAAGGGAUUGGGUGGUCCACCCAAUCCCUCCCUCCAUGGUGAUGGUUUCCUCGGGAAAAAUACUACACACCAGCCAAACGAGGCCUUAGGGCUUGGGGGUAGGGUAGGUGUGGUUGUUUUUCAAUAAAACCCUUGUGUUUAUUAUGUUUACAACGCUACUUCUAAAUCAGAAUUUUCUCUUCUUCGUAUUGUAUUCUUUGAAGGGUAAGAAGUUUUUUUUUUUUUGUGAAAAACACAACAGGCUGUCAGCCAGUGCGAGGGUUAGUUCAAAAUUUUAUACAUUGGCAAGGAGUUUUUCCAAACCAGCGGUGGACGAAGCCCGACACGCGGCAUCCUCAAACACGAAAUUAACAGUGCGAUUACCGGCGAACCACGUUUUGCCUGUUGCAAACGCGCUCACGAGGAGCGAUAAUCAGAAGACGGCGACGUGUUAAUCAACCGAAUAGCCAAAAAAAAAUUCAGAAAAAUGAGAAAAUCGCAAUGGUUAGGAAAUUGAUCAAUUGAUGAUAUGUCCAGCCACGGAUAAUUCAACGAAAAAUACUGCACGUGCAAAAAGAAAAUGUUACUAGCUGUUUGCAAAUGUUGAUAUGGCAUGGAAUCUUGGUUGUUUUUUUAUAAUAUAUAACAUUUAACAAAUUAAAUCAUAUAGUUGAAAACUUUGGGACUUUGCCUCCAUCAUCUUUUGCCCUUGGUCAAACUGCAUAUUUCAUCAGCGCGACCGGAGACCACCGCCCAACCGCCGCACGCGGCCCAAUCAGUGCUGGCCUCCCGCAGCUGCGUGCGACCUUUGCCUGCGAGAGAGAAAUAAAAGGGAGGAAGAAGAAGAAAGGAGAAGUUGGGGCAAGGUGCUAUAAUCUAGUAUUUUGCAGUUGAUGGAUGCGAUUCAACGAAGGGCAAAAGAUGAGGAAAGGAAACUGAAAUGGCAUGGAGAUAAACAUUUCGUCGAACACCUUACCGGUCAUGUGAGCUGCCGUGGUCUGGCCCUCCCCCAGAUUAAAACAACUAAUUGCACCAAGUCACUUACCAUUCCCCAAGUCUAUUGUACCUCCCUUAUCAUUGGGCCUCUCAUGGUCCAUUUGUUUCUUUGCAUGUUGCUGGCUGUUCUGUCAUCUACUACCCAUCUGUAACGACACAUGAACUCCAAAGGGCUGAACAGAGAAUAUCUUCAUAUCUCAAAUAUUGGCUUCUCCUCAUUGACUAAAAUAACUAAUAUAUGUACAAUCAGAUUAAUUUAACUUAUAUUUCAUUGCGUGUCCACAGCUCAAUUAAUCUUUGUUUCUGCCAUCACUUAUCAUUCCAUUUGCACGCUUCACCAUAUGAUAUAUUUCUAGCUUAGUUCAUAACAAAAAUUAAAACAUGCAUGCAUGAACUUCUGUAGCCAAAUUUACCUGUACAUCCAACCUAUUUGUUGUCACUUGGCAAAGUUAAUAGCACCUAUACAUGGGAAAUUUGACACAUUAGUGUUAUGCUUUAGACAUGGAUGGCUUACAUUGACUUACUGCAUUUGACUCUUGUAUACAACAAUAUGAUAGACAAUACAUCUCCUGCUUGUGUCAGUAAGAUAAUCGUUGAUGCCAGUCACUACAAAACCUUAAUGCGUACGCUGCUAAUUAACCAGAACCUUCAAUUAUUUUGGUAUCACACCCACCCGUACGAUAUAUAGUCAACCUUGUAUUCUUAGAUUUGGUGUUGCUAACCCUUAACCUUGGUGUUCCUCUUUGUCCUUCUCAUCGGAAAUAAUAUGACCGCCACUUAGAUGUCAACCAUCUAUCAAGCACUCAAGCCUCAUGCAUGUUUAUCUUUCAUCACAAUUUGUAGUCCAUGCUUGGCCCAAUCCAACUACAACUCAUAGCACAGAUGAACCUUUGUAACUCACAUUUUUAACUUUGUUGUACAAGUAAUUUGUGAUUUUGUAUUUAGGUUUACUGCUUUGCAUUAUUUAGAAUUUAUAAUGAAGCCUAUUUCUAUUUGCUAUCUGUGUUGUGGUCAUGGAACCAUUCAUAAUAUGUGUUGUCUAGAGGCUGCUCUACCAAUUCUACUAUGCCGAUCGGAUCAUGUGGCAUGAAUAUGUAGUGUAAUCAUCAUAUACCAUCCUAUCAAACACUGAGUCUUUUUCUAACCAAGACCUAGCAAACACUAACUCACUAAGUAAAAGAAGAAACCAUACUCAAUACGGUUAGUGUGGAGUUCAACCUCCAAGAACGAAUGAACCUCAUAAACUUGAAUUGGCACCAUAAAUAUGUAUUGUAUCCGUUUUUUCUCGAAGGCUGGAAGCAAAGCAUCAAGUUCUGGGAAUUGCCUAAUCAUAAAGCUAAUAACGCAAUAAUCAAGGAAAUGUGAAAGGUGAUAAUAGAACUAAGCAUGAAUAGCAAUAGCAUUACCAUAAGUCCAUAACGCCAGAACAACAUAAACUAACAGUAUGUCCUCCCUCCCGGAUGAAAGAUCUUCCCUGCACAAUCAAGAAAAAUGGAUCAUAUUUGAGAAGGGCACAGAAAAAAUAAUAUUAGAGAAUGAAUAGGGAAAAAUAAGUUCCAACUUUAUAGGCUACUGAAACUCAAAAGCAGAGACAGACACAGAGAGAACCAAGAUCAGCUGCUCCUAUCACUGUGCUAAAUGCUGUUAUCGCUUCAUCCUAAGUUUGUGUGAGUAAAUUAGAUUCCAAGCAUGAUUCAAUCAUGACAAAUCAUGUCAUAUAUCACUGCGUCAACUUCCAAAGCUUGUGCGCCGGAAUAUAAAUAAGAGCUCACCAAGAUAAGAGUAUAGAUGACACUCUGUCCAUUGUAGCCUCUGCAACAUUUCUAUCAAUACAGAUUUUAGUUAACCAACAUGUUAGGAGAGGGUGUAUUAAAUACUAUCGGAGAAACAUACCAACUUCAAAAUGCAACCAAAGUAAGAGAGAGUCCAGUGCUGUGUAUGUGUGGUGUGCGAGAGAGGGAAGUUGGAGCAGACCAUCAUGUAGAAACUCCUCAGUUAUUGAAGGAUUUUUCUUCAACCUGCUCUUUACCUUUAUAUAUUAGUCUAAUUUUAUGUCCUAUGAUUUAAGAUCCAUAUUUUGAUCAGUGAUUUAAUUUUUACAUGAUAAAGAAAUUUGAAAGUACCUAAGAAUAACUCCCACCAAAUACUAUUAAGCAAAGUUUUCAACAGAAUGAAAACGAAAAGGGUUGCAACCCUUGUAUCCAUGAGCUAUUACGAACAAACAUAAUAAAUGAAGUACAUGUUCUUCAACAUUAUCUUUGAAAGAACUGAGCUGAUCAUCCUAGUUUGUUAACUCACUAAUGCUACCGGUGAGUUGUCAUAUAUUCCAUGGUAACUUUAUAUUUAGCGGAUAUGUACAAGGAAAAAACAGAAGAAUAUGGAUGAAUUCCUUUUUCUUUGAAACAGGAUGGCUGUAUUGUUUUCUAGGACUGAAACAACAAAUAAGUUAUAAAGGAAAAUGACUAUCCAUUUGGUAUAACCAACUUGUGGCAGACCUUAAUAAGUUAGUAGGCAUUGCAAAGAAGUCGACCCCCAAAAGCAAUAGCUUAUGUCAUACCUAGAGUUCUAGAAGACUGGAAGCACAACUGGACAUCAGCAGACCUUCUACCAGAAUUCACUACAAGAGCAUUUUCCACCUUCAAAAUGGUGAAAACGACUAGAAUCUCGCACAACGAUCUUCCGAUGGGUUAUUUCACUAAUUAACUUCAUUACUGUAUGGCAGUCCACACAGACCCGAAGGUUCUUCACCACCCGGAUCACAGACCCUGGAGGAGACUUGAUUAAUCCAAAAGCAACAGCCAAUCUCUCGCUGUGCAAGAAGAGAUGGUGCUCCUUUUCGCUUUCUUCCAAGUCAUGCAUCACAGAACUAGUAUCAGGAACAUAACCCCUUUUGCGCAUCUCCAAUACCAUUUCCUCAAGAAAAACCAUAAUUUCUUCUCUAACAUCAAGUGGCACUUCCCCAGCAUGAAACAAACGGAAUUCUCUUCCAGCUUCAAUCCAGCUAUACCCUGGCUCUUUUCUUAUCUCCAAUCCAAUCAUGCACUUUCUAACCUUGGCUACGGAAUCCCACUUUCCGUUCACUGCAUAAACAUUAGAUAACAAGAUAUAUGUGGAAGAAUCUUUUGGUCGUAGCUCUAAUAGUUUAUCGGAAAUCCUGAUACACAUUUCAGCAUCCUUGUACUUCGUACAUGCGCUCAACAGGGCCCCCCAAGUAGCUUCAUCAGGCUCAUAUGGCAUUGUAGUCAUUAGCUCUUCAGCUUCCAAUAAAUGGCCUGAGCGACUAAGAAGAUCCAGAUAACACGUGUAGUGCUGCAAUCUAGGAGUGAUGCCAUACUCAUUCUUCAUUGACUCAAAAAGCUGUCGCCCUUUCUGAACAAGACCAGCAUGGCUACAAGCAUAGAUCAACCCGACAAAGGUCACCUCGUUGGGCUUCGCUCCUGCAAGAACCAUCCUGUCAUAAAGAGCCAAUGCCUCCUCAGCUCGACCAUGCUGUGCCUCUCCAACAACCAUUGUCGUCCACGAGAUUACAUCACGGAAUGUAAUCCCCUCAAAUACUUCUCUAGCAGAGAGUAUAUCACUGCAUUUCGAGUACAUGUCAAUCAACGCAUUCCCAACAAUCAUGUUGGACAGGAACCCAAGCCUCAUUGUGGAACCAUGCAACUGCCUACCCAGCACAAAAGCAGCCAGGUCUGCAGAACCGCCAAUGACGAUCGACAGCACGAAUGCAUCAUCAAUCCUAACACCAUCCCGCCUCAUCUCAACAAAAAGCUCCACUGCGCCGACACUCUCACCGGUGUUCACUAGCCCCGAGAUGAGCGCAGUCCAUGCAAACAGAUUGCGCCCAGGCAUGCUACGGAAUAGCUGCAGCGCCUCCUCACUGCGGCCGUUGGACGCGUACCCAGAAACCAGGGCAGUCCACACAACGCUGUUCUUGGCACUCAUACUGUCGAACACCUUCCUGCCAUCGUCCGGGGAGCCACACUUGCAGUACAUGUCGACCAGAGAGGACUUGACGACGUCAUCCCCGUUGUAUGGGGAUACCACGAAAUGCGCGUGCAGCUGCCUGCCAAGGCGGCGGCUACGGAGCCUGGCGAAGACGCUGGCAACGGAGCUGAUCACGAAGUGGUCGGGGUGGAGGGCGUCGGCGGAGAGCAUGCAGCGGAGGAUCGGCAGCGCGAGCUCGGGGGACGCGGAGUGGGAGACGGCAGUGAGGAGCGAGGAGUAGAUGUAGAUGUCCCGGCGCGGGGUUUCGUCGAACAGGUGGAGGGCGUCAGGGAGGAGGCGGGACUUGGCAUAGGCGGAGACGAGCGCCGCGGGGUUCGGAGGGUGGUGGGCCAGACCUUCCUUGAGGAUGCGCGCGUGCAUGCCGCGCACGGCCGCCGGCGACCCCGCCGUGGCACGGACGGCGGCUACAGCGGUGGCGGCCGGAGAGAGCAUGCAUAGGUCCGCUUCGUGUCUUCCUCCCCAAUAUCUGAGCCGUUCGUUCUGAAUUGAUUGAUCAAUAAUUCUCCUUCUUUCGCCUCCUACAAGCCCACAAGGCCACAAAGGGAUCGUUUGAGUUCAACUAGCAAAAUACCCGUGUGUUGCAACGGAUGAAAACAAUUUUAAUAAUUAAUCUGUCAUAUGGUAAAUCAUUUAUUUUGCUCAUUGAUACUUAAUAAAUAUUACGUGAAAGUAUUUAGAAAUACAUCAAUAUCAUUGUUUAUUAAUAAUAUUUUUCCUUUAAUAAUUUUAACUUGUAUUUUAUUAUGUUAUCACUUAUAUAUAAAUUUAUAUUUUUCUUUAAUUUUAUGUAUGAAUCGUACUUAAACUUUAUAAAAAUAUUGAAUUCACAUUGUUUCUAACCUGAUAACCUGAUAAAGAAAGAAUGUUAAAUUAGAUUCAUGCCAAGUGGCACAAUAUGUCUUUUAGAAAAUUUAUAACCUAAUAAAGAAAAAAAUGUUAAAUUAGAUUAAUGCCAAGUGUCACAGUAUGUCCUUUAGAAAAUUUUAUGGAAUGAAAACUUCUUAUAAGAAUAUACCUUAAUAAAAAGAUAUUUUGAGUGACUGAGUAGUUUGUGGUAUAGAUUCUUCUUAAGAAAUUUAUGUGAGUUAGGAUGAGUAGAAAUUAUGUGAGCUUACAUUUUCCGUUCUAAUGCAACUAUUCUAAGGGUGUUUGGAUGAGAUUCAGUAACCAAAUUACAUCUGCUAAAAACAAAAAUCAAAAAUAACAAGUUGAAAGUAGGUGGAACUGGGCAGAGGCAGAUCUAACCCUGUCCCAAACUUUUUUGAGGGAUAACGCAGAAUACCUGAUGAGGUGUGGGUAGGGAGGGAUGCUCACCGGCGAUAGACGAUGCGGUGGAAGCAGCCUCUGCUCGCAGGAUGGGGAUCGGCGCAAGCGGCGGGCGAGGAGAAGAAAUUCGAGGCCGAGGCCGAGGCCGGAUGGGAUGGAUUAGGAUGCUCACCAGUGAGGGAGCAGGAGAACGCCGGGCCACCUCUGCUAGCAGGAUGGAGAUCGGCGGGAGUCGGGGGGCGGCGGGCAAGGAGACGGGGCGGAUUGGGGAGGCGGAGGUCGUGCAGCGCUCUGCUGCCGCGCCGCCGCGGUGUCGCCUGCCUAUGGGUCAUAUGCACAGGCCCCUGAGGCUGGAAUUUUUUCAUAUCCCAAAAAAGUUCAUAUAAGGUCCCUUAUCUUGUCGUCGAGUUUUAAACUGUCCUGAACCCUCUAAUCUCAUAAAACCGGAUCACUUUUCAUCCCAAGGUAGUAAUGUUUUCUGGUUUUAUUGAUGUGGCGGCUAAGUCCCACGUGGACUCCACAAGUCAACCGACAAUCUUCUUCCACCUCACUCCCUUCUACUCCCAUCUCAACCCAAACCUUCAGGGCAUCUGCCAAUGGGUUGGGAGAAGGGUGUCGGUCGGUGGGGAAAAGCUCGACGGCGGAGGCCGCCGGCUGACGUGGCUCCCAACGGCCAAGAGCGCUCACAUCAUGGACUUGCGCGCGGGGGGUGCAACGCGGGUCCCAACUACAACUGCAAUGCCGUCUUCACCUGCACGCACGAGGGCUGAGGCUUCUGCCUCGUCACACUGGCCAAGCUCCUAUCCCCCUAGCUCAUAGUCGCCCCCCGUCGAGCUGCUCAAAAGCUGAUGAGUUUAGGUGUCCCCGAGCUCCGCCUCUCGUCUGCAGAGGCGCACGCGCGGUUCCGCUACAUCGUCUUCGAGGUCAACUCCAUCUACACCACAUUGCGGUCGCAUCGUCCCCGAUGCAUGCGCCCUUCUCCCCGUCGCUCGCCGCUGCCAAGCAUCUUGUUGGCUGCCAGCCUUCUCCCCACCCAUCGCCAGGCGCCAUCGUCGGGCUUCUACCUACCACCGCCGCCCAACGACUGCCACCCUUCUCCCUGCUGGUCAACGGCCACCACACACCUCUCCCGCGAUUCAGCGUCUGGCUUCCUCUUCGCGUGCAUGCACGAACACUCAUGGAGUCAGUGGUGCUCGCGACUAUGCUCAGGCGUCGCAACGAUACUCCAUCUCCCAACUCUUGGAGAUCCUCUCGCCAAUCUCAACGGUGUGGCUGACAUAUGACCACGAUACGGACGCGGCGUAGAUACGUGGCGAGCUGCCACGCAACGAUGUGGCAGUGUAACCCGAGGGGACGACGUGUCAGGAGCCCUUCCUACUUCGCUUCUUCGCGCUCUUCACCGUGCAGGUCCAUGAUGCAGCCGUCAGUCGCCACUCUUCUCCCCACCUCUUGCCGGCUGCCCUGGAGGUUUGGGUUGAGACGGGAAGAAAGGGGAGAUACGUGGGAGAAGAUUAUCGGUUGAUAUGUGGGACCCACAUGGGCCCCACGCUGACUCAACCACCACAUCACUAAAACCGGGGAGCAAUAGUGCCUUGAGACGUAAUGUGACCUGGUUUUGCAAGAUUAGGGAUAUGUUAUAUUUGGUAUUUUAGUUCAGGGGCAAUUUUGAAACUCGGCGACAAGAUAAGGGACCUCAAGUGAACCUUUUCCUUUCAUCUCUCUCUUUUCUCUUUCUUUUAAGAAUAGUAGAGAUGCUCGUGCGUUGCGAUAGGAAAUCCAAAUUACAUAUGUUAUUUUUUUCAUGUAUGGUGGCGGAGAGUUAGAUGAUAGAUAUUUGGGGGCCUUUUUUCAUGAACCUGGGCGUGAUGUUGUCGUGCUCGGAUUGGAAACUGAAUUUUUAUAAGUGAUUGUUUCCAUUUGAUGUGAGCAGAAGAGUCGGACGCUUGUGGAGGACAUGGAAACGGACAACAAUUCACAUGUCGGAUGAAAAAUUAUGAGACACGCUUUUCUAUGACAAACGACAAAAACACUAUUAAUGUUUUAAGUAGAUAAAGAUAUAUAACUAUAUAAGUCGUAUUUUGCAAUGAAAUUUAUAUAGAUACAUUAUAACCUACCUCCCAGCAUUUUCAUAUUUUUUUUUACCACCGUAUACAUAUAUUUCAAGCACUAAGCAUGAUUUAAACAUUGUGGUUUUACAUUUCAAACAAUAGUCAUGAAAAUUUUGAAAAUAUUUUAGAGCUUUGAUAAUGGUGUUAUGGCCCUGCAAAAUGUCAGCUGAAUAUGACUCGUAUAAAAAGAAACGAAGAAGAUAAAUGCUCGAGCAAACCGAUUUUAGUAGUUCAAGGGGUACAAUAAGGCAAAACAUAGGUCAGUGGGUUAAGGGUGUGCUUUUUAAUCCAUCUUCCUAACUUAUACUUGUUUCCAAUCUGCUAAAUAGUGUAAUUUAUGUAAAAAAAUUAUAAAGAAAAAUUGCUUUAAAAAAUCAUAUUAAUUUAUUUUCAUGCUUUUAAAACUAAUAUUUAAUUAAUCAUGCACUAAUGCGUGCUCUGUUUUACUACAUGCUAAAGAGGAGGGGUUCCUAGCCCCUCUUUUCGUACUUAGCCCAUGUGAACCAAUGAAAUAUUAUAAAAUAGAUUUUCUUUCAAACCAAUAUAUUAAUAUGUCCGUGCUAACGCUACGAUGAUAUUAUAUUUUGACAAUCAGGCAUACAUAUACAGAUUCAUGCCAAGGAUACAAGAAAAUAAAGCCUACAUAUUCAUUAUUCUACAUGAGUUAAUGACAUGUGGGUCAGGAUGACAUAUCUCAAAUUUUGCAAAAUUAUAAUGGCAUGGUUCCAAUUUUCCCUAGAAAAGAAAGAGUGCCGCCACCUACAUUUCAAAAUCCCACACAUUUCAAAGUCCUAUACAAUAAUAACAAGUUUAAUACCAAGACAUAGUUAUAGAUUUUUAGUUUUGUAUUAGCAAGUUUUUUGUUCUGCGAAUGUUUCAAAAUCCUAAAUUGAACUGUAUUUCUUAUUCAGAUCAUAACCAUCACAAAAACUCAUAACAGAUCAAAAUGUUCAUAUAUUUGGCAGCAUGAUGGACCAUGGGUGAAAAUAGUGACCCAAAACAUUUAGCUGUCUUUCAGUUUCAGCAAAAAAAAAAAUUAACCACUUUGACUAGUAAUAUGCCCGUGCUAACGCUACGAUAAUAUUUUGUAGUUCAAAUGUUGUACAUCCAAAUCGCCAAAAAAAAAUGCUUCCACAUUCCGUUGAUCUUAAUACAAAAUAAUACACAUACACCACAGUAAGGACAUGAUUAUUUUACAGCCCACUUGAUGGUUCGAUAACAAUACAUCUCUGGAAAUGGCAUGAGGGGUAACAAAUCUAGUAAAGUGGCAAAGAAUUCUCUCAAUAAUCUAUUAUGCGCAUACUAUGACCACUGAUUCAGAAAAAUAUUAUCCAGAUCCCAACAAAACCUACACAAUUCUGAUUGAACCAGUGUGUAGGAGAGUAAUAAGGUUUCUACAGCCAUUGCAUGCUUCAGAUUUAUUUAACAGCCCAAUAGCUUAUUAUGCACUUCAUUGUGUUGAACUUGAAAUGCCUUGCUUGUGCUGCAGAGAGGUGAAACGGAAUCUUAAGAAUUAUUAAAGGCGUUUCAAAACAAAGAAAAAGGCUAGGCCUUGAUCAGCAUAAAUUAGUUCAUUUAAAUUUUAGCUUGCUCAAUGUUUUCCAUGGCCAAGAGUCAGCAUAAACACCAACAUUAAACAACACCAUAUAAGGGGAAUCAUGCUUGAUCAAUGUUUUCCAUGGCCAAGAGUCAGCAUAAACACCAACAUUAAACAACACCAUAUAUGGGGAAUCAUGCUUGAUCAUCAAGUGGGGAAUAGUAAACUAUUGACAAUCCUGCCAAUUAGGUACAACACAAAAUCAUGCAAAUCAGUUGUAUCAUAUUUCAAAAAGUUAAUCAAAUCAUGUAAUACAGUCAAACCACACCCCAGUCAAGCUGACCUCACCGCCCCAGAGGUAGUCGCCUCCCCGGAACUUCACCAAGACAGCCCCUCCAUGUGCCCUACAACGAUGAUGUAGGCAUCCACAUUUGCUGUCAUUGGUUGCCCUGUAAAUAACACUCGCUGUAGCUCAAUAGAUGUCAAACCACACUGUUAAACAUGAGGCACAUGAUUUUUUUUGGUAGAAAAUUGGGAAAGAAAACACCGAAACAGCACAAAUUAUUUGUACUGAUAAAUCGAAGACUAUUUGAAAAAGAAUUCAUAGAAGUAAGGAAUGCACUGGAAAAGAACACAAUUCUCAAAUAUGGGACCUGAUCACUUAACAUGAUAUCAAAUCGAGCAGUUCGUGAGCAGCAAUAUUUUUUUUAAUGGAAUGAGCAGCAAGAUUUCGAUGAGCAAGAGCAGUGAAAUACCAUGCCGAAGUCCAAACAUUACAUCCAUACAUGGUACUAUCAACAUGUCUACUGCCGUAAAUUCAGACAGUACAUGCUACUCUGAACAUGUCUAUAUGCUGUCAAAAUGCUGAAUAUGACUGAAAUUCUGAAACCAACUAAAUGGGAUCAAGUCUCAACCCAUCGACAAUAAAGCUCCGACAUUAAGAUAAAAUCCAUACAUAUAUAACCCUAAAAACUAAUGCUAACCUCAGCCCGAUAGAUUGGAAAGUAGUUACCUUUAAUAUCGGAUGCAUCGACCCUCACUCCAUUAUCCAGCUAAAAGCAUCAGCCACAAUCAUGGUUCCACAGAUCAUCGUCUGCUGCACGUUGUCCUAGGUGUUAGCACCACCUCCAUGCUGCCCACGACUCAAUUGUGCCAAUUUAAAUUGUUGACAGACUACACAAUGCUGGAACUUUGGAUCAAGGACAUACAGGAGUUCUGCAAAUUAAUGAAGCAUACCGGCUCCCGAAACCAGUUGCUCUCGUCUUUCUCCCUGAUCGGCACUGAAAUAUAAAAGUAGUAAGAAAGAAUGCCCAUGUUCCUCUUCAUAUUUGAAUUUCAUUGAUUCAACUUGAACUCACCUGACAAAUCACAAAACCAUGCAUCCCUUUAAUGUAGUUAUGUUUUCAUCUGAUCCAUCCCUUUAAUUUAGUAAGAAAGUGAAGUUCCUGACUAAGAAUAGCUGCAUUAUUCUAACUUUUUUUUACCAGAACUGCAUUCUUUCUUUGUUUUUUUACCAGGACUGCAUUCUAUCUGUUGAAAGAAAUAUUAUGUACAGUGUACAAUUGCUGAGAAAACCUUGACAUCAAUAGAAUUUGCAGGUUUUUUUAUUCCAUAUAAUUUUAAAAUAAACCCAAUCAUAUUCUCAUUGCAAAAGGAUACUUUGGAAGUAUCAGCAUCGUUACAAAGAGAUUAUAGUGAGGCACAAAUAAAUGUAUGCUCGAAUUACUACAGAUGAAAGCAACACUCAUACGGGAUUGUAUAAUUCUGAAGCAUUCAAAAACAUUCUCACAGGUUUUCUAUAAAUCUAUGCGUAAGCCAUCAUAAUCUAGAAUACUUCAGUCUAUGCUCGAGGUAAGUAUAUAAUAUACACGGUGUGAAUAAGAGUAUAUUAUGUUUCAUGCAUAAGAGUAGCAGUCCUGCAUAAGAGUAGUUGAAAAUCAUAUGGCCGAUGUACCUCUUCUCAUGCAUAAAAAGGAUCCAGAAUAUCUUGUUAAUAAAAUGCAUGUUUUGUGCCAUUUUUCUACCUAAAUCCUUUUUGUCAUGCAUUCUGUAAGACCCUAACGAUCCCCACUCAUGCAAGAGACAAGGUUGCACUAAAACCUAAACUCAAUUUAUUCAUCCAAAAACCACGAUCUGAAACCAUACAUACAUCCCUAGUACAUCUGAAACAAUACAUAAGAUGCCACUGGUGCUGGUCCUCAAUACCGAUCUUCCUCAUCAUCGCUACAUGAAGAGAAAAGUAUAUAUAUUCCCUCCACAUCUAAACUUGUUAUAAGGGUUGUUAAUUAGAAAAAGGUGAUCUCAGCCAUAGAAGUAAAAGGAUGGCUGAGAAUAGGUGAAAUUCACCCAGGCAACAGCUGCUGCUGCGGCUGCUCUUGUUUGGGCAAUAAAAUCAAUUGGUUAUUUUCAAGUCCUACAUUGGGGGAGUUUAAGCCAUUGGGGGAGUUGCUUUAGUUGGUUUCAAUUGUAAUGGUUGAAGGAAUGGGAUCGAGCGAAGCUUACCUUGUCUGCAGCGUGGUGGAGAGGGUUCUGGUGGUGGCGCAACAGAGAGCACAUGGCGCAGGAUCCUUGGCGGUGGCGGCGUCGCGGUACAGAAGGCAUCCCGGUGGCGGCUCAAGAUCCUUCGUGGUGGCGUCGGAGGCGUCUCGCGACGCGGUCGGCAGGAGGGACCGCGCGCCGGCUGCGUGGUCAGCGGUGAGGGGCGGCGCCGCCGUCGCUGGAGGGGGGCACGGGUGUCGGAGGCGUAUCGCGAGUUCGCGACGCGGUCAGUGGGGAGGGGCGCCGUCGCGCUGGCGGCGAACGGAAGGGUGGCAGCAGGGGAGAGAGGAGGAGGUGGCGGCAACGAUUAGGGUUUGCCCGGGGAGUGCGGCGACGCUUGUGGUUAUAGUUGGCCAUGUGGGCCGCCCGGCACGGCACGGCCCAGGCCCGGCCGUGCCUGGGCCGAGGCUUGUCGGGCCGGCACGGCCCGACCGACGCACCGGGCCGUGCCGUGCCAGCCCACGUGCCGCACUCACGGCCCAGGCACGGCCCAACACGCCUCGGGCCGUGCCGGGCCGGCCCGAAGGCACGAUGGGCCGUCGUGCUUUUCCUCAGAAUAAGUCUAAAUUUCCUCCCUCCUAUUGGGCUGUGACAUAUGUACAGCUACAAAAAGUCUAUUUUACCUCCCUCUUCUUUGGGCUGGGGUAUAUAAAUAGCUAAAAUAAGUCUAUUAAAGGUCCCUAUUCUCUAGACAGUUACAUUUAUAUGUCUAUUUUUAGUCCCUAUACUUUAUGUACCGGGCCUGGCCUGCCGGCCCAUCGUGCCGGGCCGGCCCGACCGUGCCGGGCCAGCCCAGCGUGCCGGUGGGGAGGCCCAGGCACGGCCCGACGGUCGGGCCGGGCCAGCACGGGCCCGACCCAAGUCGGGCCGUGCCGUGCUUGGGCCGGGCCAAAAAGGCGUGCCGUGGGCCGGGCCUUCGGGCCUCGGGCCUUAUGGCCAACUAUACUUGUGGUGGCAGGGGAGGCGACCGCGCUGUAGGUUGGGAGAGGGAGGCGGAGCGAUCUGGAUUGGUGGAAGGAGAGCGCGUUGGGGAUUUUCGGUCGAGGUGGGAGGAGCGAUCUGAGCGGCGUGAUUUUUGGAUGAGGGAGUGGGGGAUAUGUGCGCGGAGGUUGAGGGGGUACGUGGGACUGUACGUGGCGUUGGAUCGGAUGAUUCUGGACCGUUGGAUCUGAUGAAUAAAGUACGAAGGAUGUAAGACCCAGUUGAUGAAUUAUAGGGUAGAUAAUUCAACAUAUGAUCAUUACAAUCAUCAGGUUUAGUAUAUAAACAUACGGAGAUGCACAUCAAAUUGAGAAAAAAAUAUCUUCAGUUCUCUUUAAUCUUUACCUCUUAUACAUAAAUUACAGAGUAUCAAAUGAACACCACAAAUGGUCAAAUUUCAUAUUACCAUUGAGUCCUGAUUAUUUCCAGAUCAAGUCAUCAUGCAAAAGUUAAAAUGCUUCAAUCAAUUCCCCACAACCAAAGUAGUACAAGACAAUAUAUAUUUAACCUGAGGUCUCCAUGAUGUAAGCUUCAGUUUUCUUAUACCUACGGACAUCGUCAAAUGGAAAACACAAUUCCAAAAAGCAUGCCUUCCAUCUGACAAAUCCAGGGAUAAAAUCUCAAUUGCUGGCACCUUGGUUAUGGCUUCCAUCGAGUACCGACACCACCCAUGAUCUACACAAUCAACACGGUCUCAUAAACAUAAAUUUAGCAAAAGACAAAGGAUCAAAUUAAACUUUCAACACUCUAUAGCCAAAUGCAUGUUGAAAAUGAAAAAUAUUCAUGACUGGAAAGAGUAUCUAUAAAAAAUAAAAUCAGAUUAUGGGCCUCAACUUUUUAUUUUACUAUGCUAUAAGGAAAUGUAGAAACCAUAAUACUUCCUAAACACAACCAAUAGCACACUGAAUUUUUCAUGCUAAUAAUUGAAAGAUGGAGAUUAAAUAUGCCCAAUGAUGGAGAUUAAACCUGUAGCCUCAAGAAGCUACAGGUGACAUGCUGACAGCUACAAGACCUGAGCGAAGCAACAUGAAUCUGAGUUUUGCAUAGGCAGAACAACAUAAAUUAUCAGCAGUGUCUUACUCUAUAUUCCUCCCAUUUAUGCAGACCCAAAACCUCCAAAAUAUCUCAUAUUUCACUACAACAGUUGUUACAAUACUUAAAAUGAUAAAUUUUCUGAAUGAAGAAUCACGUACACUACCAAAGUAUUUUAAUAAUGUUGUGUAAAGGUCAAAGAAAUUCAAAACCAAAACAUGCUUCAUGGAUGGAUUUGAUUACAAUAACCUCGAAUCAAACAACCCAUAAAAGAUUUUUGCUGGAAGCAUAAGUUGAUCAACCUAUAUUUUGAAUGCCAUUGUCAAUUAAACUCAACUUAGGCCCCCUUUGAUUCAAAGGAAAUUCAUAGGAAUUUUAGAUGAUUUCAGUCUUAUAGGAAUUUUUCCUAUAAAGCCCUUUGAAUCAAAUGAAUGAACCCUAUGGAAUCCUAUGAAAUUCCUAUGGAAUGCCUCUUCCCAUAUAAGUUUUGAAGGAAUUUUAACAAGAGGUGAACCUUGUGGAAAAAAAUCCUUUGAGUCUUUAUUUCUCCUCAAAUUCCUAUGUUUUUCCUGUGGUCCAAUCAAAUGAUCAUUCCUACGUUUUUCCUGUGUUUUGCAAUUCUCUGUUUUACACUUACAUUCCUGUCAGAAUCAUAUGUUUUUCCUAUUCCUCCGUUUUUCUAUUCCUGUGAUUCAAAGGGGCCCUAAUUUGUACAGAUGUAUAUAGGAAAAAGCAACAGAAACCGAUGUAUUCUAGCAAAUCCUCUGUCAGAUUGAAGAGUUAAGAAAUAUAUAUUUAUUCAUAAAAAUGGCCAAUACUUUUUCUAUGAAAGGCUACCUUUCUAAAAUGGUUCAUUCCGGAUAGUUUCUAACCAGAUUCUAAGCGGCCAGAAACCCUGCUCCUUACACUGACAUUUCUAUCUAUCAGCACCUUAUGACAUUACUACAAAUCAGUUCAAUUCACUCCAACGAAUCUAACUGCAUGUGCUUCUUCAACAAGUUCUUUAUCCUAUCCCAACUUGAAAGCAAAAGACAUCUAAAUCACACAGGCUCAAAACCAGACUGUCGAACAAAUUGCAAAUGUCUUCAAAAGAUUUGAGAUGACAACAAAAUUGAGUUAACUGUCCAUAAAUUUACAUAUUUCAGUAUAGCCGUAAGAUCCAAAAAUAUGGCUUUGCCCAGGUUGAGAUGGAGAUAGACCAAAGGAAGGAGAAAACUCACUGUAUCGUGGUCACCAGCCAUGAACAUGUCUCAGCCAUUAGUGCCUACAAAUUCCAGUUUGAUUGAUUUGCUAUGUUCUAUCACAUUAAAUUCUUGAAGCAAGAACAAAGCUCCGCUAUAUAUGAUAUGACUCGUGCUGCUCUGUUUUUUUUUUAAGAUAAAGGAUUUAUAUAAAACCCGGCUUCUACAUCCCGAAGAAUGUACACAGCCAAUCAAGUCCAUACAAGAGCAAGGCUCCUCCCAUUACAUUGCUCUGUUUGUAAGACUUGUUUUCCAACCUGCUGCUUAUGCUGUGUCUCAUGAUCUGUUUCAGUUUUUUUGGUGAGAGCAUGCACGAUGAUGGCAGCUUGGUGUUGGCCUACUACAAGGAUGGAGCCACCGACCCAACCUUCCUGUACUUCUCUCAUGGGCUGAAGGAGGUCAAGUGCCGAGCUGUUCCUUCUGCUCGACACUGGAUGUUUUAUCUACGCAGUCCGCCGUAUUUUUGGUCUAGUCUAUGGUUGUCAGUUGACUCGUUAUGGUCCAAUGUUGGUGUCGGAAACAACUAUCGUUUGCCUGUUAUGGAUGCUGAGAUGAGUCCUUUUUUUUAAAAAAAACCUCCGGAUUAUUGGAUUCAUGAGCUCCUUAAUUUGCUUUGUGAUGGCUGGAGAAAGAUAAUGGUGAAUUUGUUGUGGUUAUUAGCUAUGUAGCUUAACUUGAAUACAUG